Molecule: ribosomal RNA, 446 nt
Filed under: uncultured bacterium
Lineage: Bacteria
Description: partial 16S ribosomal RNA
Rfam family: Bacterial small subunit ribosomal RNA
Source: RNAcentral
CCUACGGGUGGCAGCAGUCGAGAAUCAUUCACAAUGGGGGAAACCCUGAUGGUGCGACGCCGCGUGGGGGAAUGAAGGUCUUCGGAUUGUAAACCCCUGUCAUGUGGGAGCAAAUUAAAAAGAUAGUACCACAAGAGGAAGAGACGGCUAACUCUGUGCCAGCAGCCGCGGUAAUACAGGGGUCUGAAGGUGUGUUCGGAAUCACUGGGCGUAAAGCGUGCGUAAGCUGUUUCGUAAGUCGUGUGUGAAAGGUGCGGGCUCAACCCGCGGAGAGCACAUGAUACUGGGAGACUAGAGUAAUGGAGAGGGAACCGGAAUUCUCGGUGUAGCAGUGAAAUGCGUAGAUAUCGAGAAGAACACUCGUGGCGAAGGCAGGUUCCUGGACAUUAACUGACGCUGAGGCACGAAGGCCAGGGGAGCGAAAGGGAUUAGAUACCCGGGUAGUC